Molecule: ribosomal RNA, 460 nt
Filed under: uncultured bacterium
Lineage: Bacteria
Description: partial 16S ribosomal RNA
Rfam family: Bacterial small subunit ribosomal RNA
Source: RNAcentral
CCUACGGGUGGCAGCAGUGAGGAAUAUUGGUCAAUAGACGAGAGUCUGAACCAGCCAAGUAGCGUGAAGGAUGACUGCCCUAUGGGUUGUAAACUUCUUUUAUAUGGGAAUAAAACGUUCCACGUGUGGGAUUUUGUAUGUACCAUAUGAAUAAGGAUCGGCUAACUCCGUGCCAGCAGCCGCGGUAAUACGGAGGAUCCGAGCGUUAUCCGGAUUUAUUGGGUUUAAAGGGAGCGUAGGUGGAUUGUUAAGUCAGUUGUGAAAGUUUGUGGCUCAACCGUAAAAUUGCAGUUGAAACUGGCAGUCUUGAGUACAGUAGAGGUGGGCGGAAUUCGUGGUGUAGCGGUGAAAUGCUUAGAUAUCACGAAGAACUCCGAUUGCGAAGGCAGUUCACUGGACUGCAACUGACACUGAGGCUCGAAAGUGUGGGUAUCAAACAGGAUUAGAUACCCGUGUAGUC